This 354-nucleotide long non-coding RNA is filed under the name Bos taurus (domestic cattle). RNAcentral's name for it is "long non-coding RNA NONBTAT010896". Lineage: Eukaryota; Metazoa; Chordata; Mammalia; Artiodactyla; Bovidae. The record is from RNAcentral.
AAUUGAAUUAAAAUGUCUUCAAUAUUGCAGCAUAACUUCUAUAGCAAAUUAUGUUCACUGUUCACUUGAUAAGGUAUUUUGAAAACCAGAAGAAUUGGUAACUCCAUGGAGUUCUUAAAACAGAAACAGUUAUUUGAUCAAUUUUAAAAUAAGGUGUUCGAUGGACUUUGAAAGAAAAGAAAAUAAAAAUCUAAGGUAAGCACCGGUUUUACCCUCAUUUCUUGGGCUUCAGAAAAGCCUAAUUAGGCAGGGAAAGGAAUUUGGGCCUGGCACACCCAGGUUCAGACGUGGCAGGUUCCUGAAACAAAGUUUUUUUGAACCUUUGAGUCAUAUGCCACAGGCAGACCAAACCCG